CGGAAACCUCUGUAACGUGAGCCCAGGUCAGCGCUUCCUCCUGAGAAGUGGAUUUGUUUCAAGUAUUGGUCACAGUGACGGAAAGCUGACACCAUGACAAGGAUGUGGGAAUGAGGAAGGUGCUGUCUUACCCUAAAAUGCCAAAUAGUUGUGCCCGCCUGUGUGUGGAUGCCCUGGAAGAUGCCCAUCCUAGAUUGCUAAGACAUCAGGGACCAGGAGGACAUUUUCUACUAAGCACCUGUGUCACAAGCUGCAAGCAGGAGCUCAGUGAGUGCCAAGUGUGACCCGAAUAGGCUCAAAUCUGCUUCACUCAAAACAUGCUCUGGGGCUGGGGUUGUGGCUCAGUGGCAGAGCACUUGCCUCACAUAUGUUGGGUUCCAUUCUCAGCACCGCAUAUGAAUAUAAGAAAAAAUAAACAUCUAUCAACAACAAUAAAAAGAUCAAAUUUUAAAAAAUGUUCUACAUUACAGAGUGAAGAAAAUGCUGAUUUUGAAAGCAAGCUGAGGUAGGGUCACAUCUAUCAUCUUGUGGCUGCUGGUGGGUCCAAGUUUCCUGGAGCCUCCCAGCAGGUGACAAGGGCUUCCUGAGUUUCCUCAGGAGUCGGCCCUCCUCUCCUCCCAGUCUAGGGGGUUCAGGAAGAAAUGAUCUCAGUUCUGACACUAGAGGAGGGCACGUGCCCUGUGCUUGGCCAACCAUGUCUUUGCAUUCUCCACCCUUACAGCCUGGCCAGGCAACAGGACUCCAUUCUAGAUUUCUCUGGGAAUACCGACAGGCACUCUGUUUCAGCUGAGACUGCAGAUUAGACAGGCUCCGAGCCUAGUCCAAGUAGGGGCUGCCGACGUAAAAGCCUUCAUUCAGCCCUAGAUGAUACUGAAAGAAUCUCCAGGUCGUGACGACAAUUCAUAAGCUUUGAAGAAGCAGCAAUCCUAUUAUGUCAACUGACUUCUGUUUUCUAACUGCUGCAUUGGAAGGACGAGGAUAUCUCUAUGAGGACAUUUCUGGUUCCAUGACCAUCAGCCGUCAAUAAACAAAAAGCACUGCUAAUAGACCAGACGGGCAGGGGAAGAGGUCCUAUUUAAAUUUACAAUUCCACGGGCUCUGUGUUGUAUUUACUGAGACACUGGAUGUCAUUAGCAAAGUUCUUUCUGAGAUACUCCAUACAAAAUUCCUGUUUCAUCGCCCGGGAGUCUAGCCUUCAAUCAUACACGUAAUGACUACAAAAGCUUAUAAAGCAUUCUCUUACUCAUUUAAUCUACAGAAUAUAUUUGUACAGGGAAAGGAACUUGUUUAUUUGAAUUGUAAAUGAACUUGUAAAGUCUUGUGUUAAUCCAAAGCAACAAUCUCUAAAUGAUGCAGACUCUUUAUGGUCUGGAAACCUUAGACCCUAGGGUCUCAUAUCCUUGCAGUUAAAUAAACAGUGCCUUUCAGAUGCAAGUCAAACCUGAACAAACCCUGGUUCCUCCUGCAGGGGUCAGCACAUUCCUUCUAUUAAGCCACAUGGUAAAUUCUGUGGCUUGAUGGACUCAGGCCCAAUAGUUUGCCAACCCUUGUCCUACAGCAUAUUUCUGCCGACAAUCUUCCUGCUACUGCAAAGGGACAGGCUUGCCUGAAAAUUAAGCCAAGGAGAGGAAAGGAGAGACCCACUCAUGUGAGACUGAAACCUCACUUCACCAUUUGCUGCUCUGGAUCCAGCUAUACCUGAAACCAUUUCCUCACCUAAGACAUGGGACCUCAUGAAGACCUCACAGACAGGGGCUCCAGGGGACACAGUGGGCCAGUUGCUGUGUUAGCAUCUUUUCUUGUCCUAUUCUACGGAUGCAGGAAAGGAGACACAGAGCGGGCCUUGAUUUAAAUCAUGAAAUCUCCCAGGGCUCAGCUUUCGCCAGACAAUUCCAUUUGCUCCCCUGGCUUUGAUCAGCAUUGAUAACCUGGACAUUUUUCUAAAGGUGUCGCUUCAGCCGAGAAGACUCUCCUAACUGACCCAAUGCUGGUGCGUAACGCGGGCCAAGCUAAUUAACUUCUGGGUCUCAAUUAUCCAUAUGUGUAAAACAGGGGACGUAACAGCACCCACCUGGGGGGAUCAUUGUGAGAAACAGAAUGAUUUCACAUAAAUCCAUGCUCUGGCACAGUCUCCCCGUCACAACUAGUAUCACGCCUUGCUUCAUCUCCCUCAGGUCACAGGCACCUCACCUCCACUUCACCUAAAGUGAAUCAUUUUUAUCCUUAACCACUUUCCAGGAAUGGCAAAGCCGUUAUCUAACUGCUCAGAGAGAAGGAGCAGGAUUGUCCUCAACUCCACCUCCUCCCUCCCUGCACCAGAUCACCCAGAUUUAUCCCCAAGACGGGUCUAAAGGAGCCCCUGAGUUAUUCCCACCCUCCUGAUCCCCUCCUCUGGAGACCAGCUGUCUACACCCUCAGCUUCUGGGUUCUGCUCUGGUUAUUUAAGGUCUUCCAUGCAGCAGCCAGGGGCAGCUCUCACACACCUGAUCGAGGUGCACCCUGCUCUUGGCCCAAUCCCCCCAGGAUCUUCCUCGCUCUUAGGGCGGGAGAAGCCUUCACGCCAACUCACAGGGACGUGACCAGCCCCAUCACCGACCACACACAGGCUCCUGCUCCUCUGCUUUCUUUCCUUCAAAUACCAGUGACAGACCACUUCUGCCUCGAUGCCCUGACACUGCCGCUCCCUCUGCCUGGCUGAUUAACGACUUGUGUCACCGCUGCUUGCCAGUUUCCUCUGUCACAGACAUCCUUCUGAACAGGACCCUCUGAAGUCCAGUCCUUCCCAGAGGGGGACCCAGCGCAAGCUGCAGCCGGUGGCUCUCUGACUAGUGAACGGUGAGCGGGCCACCCAGAUCUGGCAGGAGACCUCUCAGGGGUGCCUGCAGGGGUGGCUCCUAAGAAAGGCUUCCCGAGUUGAGAAACAACCCCAUUUCUGCCCCUGCCCACUGUGGUGUUGGGAGGUGGGGACUGAAGGGUCGUAGGAGUCUUGCAGCAUCGGGGGCCGGAGUCCUGGAGCAAGGUGGGGGGUGCAGAGAGCAGAGAAUCAUGGGAGGUGGGAUCGGGGCGAGCCUGCUGCACAGGCAGAUUUGCUGGGUGAGAAUGUCCAAUGUGCAUAAGGACUUCCGCUACUGCAGUCCAAACCCGCCUAAUUGACAUGCCACUACAGCACGGCGCACUCUGGAGGGUAAGAUGACCAUUCGUGACACGUAGUGGACGCUCAGGGACACCGAUUGAAUGGAAAGCGACUGAGUAUUUCUAAACAAAAGACAGGACAAGCUCUGGCUCCCCCCCCCCACACCCAAGCCUUCCCAUCUCCUAGAAUGUUCCCUGGUAGAGAACGCAAUGCAGGUUCACCCAGUAGGUACCACGGCACAAUAGAAGGCCGUGUCACCUCCGGACCGCAGGUAAGGAAUGGCACCCGAGAACCGGCUCACACCCAAGGGGACAUGAGCAGCUGCCACACUGCUUUUAAAAGCUCUCUUGGUUCUAAGCGUUAUCUCCUGGACUGACCAAGUCGACGUGUUUGCUUGAACUUGAUCACUGGCUUUUCACACAAGUUCACCCCCCAUGACACAAGGAGAUUGCUGAUUGGGGUCAUUGGGUCUAUUAUUGAAGGGUGACAUCACAAACUAAACUAUAUAUAUUUUUCAUUUGUAUAUAAUAGCCCAGAAAGCAAUGACCCAAGUGAUCAAAUCGUGGGGGAUUCACUAAAUUAAGGAACCAAUGUGUGUCUAUGUGGCCAUUAAAAAUGAUGACGGAGCCCGGGCCCGGUGGUGCACACCUGUGAUCCAGCAGCUUGGGAGGCUGAGGCAGGAGGAUCUCAGGCUUACAGCCAGCCUCAGCAACUUAGUGAGACCCUUUCUCAAAAUAAGAAAAAAAAUUAAGAAGGGCUGGGGAUGUGGCCCCAUGGUUAAGUGCUCAUGAGUUCAAUUCCUGGCACACACACACAAAAAUGAUGGGUUAUUCUAUUAGUUCUAUUAGCAUCAAAAAUUGCCACUGUUCAUUGCUCGGUGAAAAAAAAUAAAUUGCCAAAUGUUAUGUAUAGUAUAAUUCUGGCUUUCUAUCUAUGGCAGGCAGAGGAUUUAGAAGAAACUCAGCUAAGAGUGGUUCUACUUGGCUGAUAAAAUUAUAAUGAACUUGAGCUUCUCUAUGAUGUUUUUCUGACAUUUUUUUUUUCAGGGAGCAGGGGUGGAUUUAAUCCCAUCUCUGCCAUCUAUCUGCCACGUGCUGAACCUCAGUAGCUACCUAUGUACCAGAGUGAAGGCCAGAGACCCUCUGUCUCUGAAGUUGUAACGAGGAAGGGAGACAGUUGCAAGUUCAAAUCCACACCUUAGAACGAAAGUGCAAGAGGAAGAAAACAGAAAUCAGGUCCCUUUUAAUGAAAUUCAGGAAUACAAGUUAAACAAUUUGUUUUGAAGUUUCCCAAAAUUGAGACUUCUACUGGAAUUUUGACCAUAACUCCAAAAUAGUAACAAAAACCAAUUAACAACAACAAAAAUGUGAUACAUCGUCCAUACUCUCAAACAAUGAACCUUUCUCGACAAGGUUAAUCAGUAUCAUAUAAAUGCAAAGGAACAAGAAGUAUUCUGCGCAUACCAAUAAGGACCUAGUAAAACACUAUUGUAAACACAGUAACAAUGGCAUGUAUUCUACUGCAGAUCCAAGAUCUCACAGGACCCAGAGCUGAAAAACAACAGAGAUGCUUUGUCACUCAUUUACACAGGUCUUCUUCUACGCAACCAGAUGGGGGAGAGGAAGGAAAGCCAAUUAUUACAUAUAUAUUGAUUCACGAGAGAAAAACAGGUGGAGCUUAAAAUAACCAUGUUUUAGGAAAACCAAUAUUUAAAAUACUGCAGGCCACAAUCAUUUUUCAAGGCCUGAGUUUGGUGUAAGAAUAUAUUUCUUUAAUAAAUGGUAAAGUCAAAAAAAAAAAAAAAAGAAACCUACUAAGGGAUAGUUUGGCAAAAUGAUUCCCAGGCUCUGUAUGAUCAAAAGAAAUCUCCAAAGGUAGCUAACUAUUCUACAGAAUUAGCUGAAACAUUAUAUUCCUGAAUUGUUCUUCUGCAUACUGAAAAUUUGGUCUUUCAUUAGGCUAGUGAGUGCCUUAAGACGUAGGGUAGUGAUAUGGAAAACCAUGUUCCACCUCAAAUAUUGUCAAGACGUGAUUUAAAUGCCCUCGCCUUUCUCCAUAGUCCCUGUCACUGGUCAUCUUGUUCUAAAGGGCCACAUGUCCUUUUCCAUUUUGUAGAAGGCCGAGUCAGAAGGGCGGACUUUGAUUUCAUUUUUCUUACUACUAGCCUAUUCCUUGGGCAAAGAUAAGAUGAAAAAAAGCAAUGGUAUCAGGGUGAGUGGAGCACACCUAAAAUCCCUGGGGGGAAGGGUGGGGGGCUGAGGCAGGAGGAUCUCAGGCAAGUUUGAGGCCAGUCUGAGCAGCACAGUGAGACCCUCAUCUCAAAAAUAAUAACAAAGAAAGAAAGAAAAAAUGAGGGAAAAGAAAGUGGUAAUUUUUAAUGCUUUUUAAAAAAGAUCUGUAUAAUAUCAACAUUAUUUUAUAAAUAAUAUGUACCCUAAAGUUAAUAAGCCAGAUUCAGGUGACAAAGCCAGUGUGACAGAAUUUACCUGGACAGACGUUCUGGCAGUCAGGGAGAAUAGCAAAAGCCCUCCCUUCCCAGCUACACACAGCGGGAACUCACUGUAAAACAGGUGACAGCGAAAACCCCCCCCAAAUGCACUGGUCCUUUUUAACCUUAGUACUGAUCUGGGAAGAAAACAGACCCAAAACUAACACUGUCCUGUUGAAAGUUUUAAAUGGAAUCAUUUUCAAUUAAACUAGUAGUAGAUUUACAUCACUCAGUAAUGGAUAUAAUUACGCCCAAUAUCAUUAACCAGUUACGAAGUUCAUUAACUAUUCGCCUAACUGAUGUGAUUCUGCAAUCUGUAUAUGGGGUAAAAAUGGGAGCUCAUAACCCACUUGAAUCAAAUUGUGAAAUAUGAUAUAUCAAGAACUAUGUAAUGUUUUGAACAGCCAACAAUAAAA
This is a long non-coding RNA of Marmota monax (woodchuck), 6037 nucleotides long. RefSeq lists it as uncharacterized. The record is from RefSeq and is a predicted model, not a curated record. The transcript has 5 exons. Lineage: Eukaryota; Metazoa; Chordata; Mammalia; Rodentia; Sciuridae.